GACGAACGCUGGCGGCGUGCUUAACACAUGCAAGUCGAACGGAAAGGCCCUGCUUUUGUGGGGUGCUCGAGUGGCGAACGGGUGAGUAACACGUGAGUAACCUGCCCUUGACUUUGGGAUAACUUCAGGAAACUGGGGCUAAUACCGGAUAGGAGCUCCUGCUGCAUGGUGGGGGUUGGAAAGUUUCGGCGGUUGGGGAUGGACUCGCGGCUUAUCAGCUUGUUGGUGGGGUAGUGGCUUACCAAGGCUUUGACGGGUAGCCGGCCUGAGAGGGUGACCGGCAACAUGGGGACUGAGAUACGGCCCAGACUCCUACGGGAGGCAGCAGUGGGGAAUAUUGCACAAUGGGCGGAAGCCUGAUGCAGCAACGCCGCGUGCGGGAUGACGGCCUUCGGGUGGUAAACCGCUUUCGCCUGUGACGAAGCGUGAGUGACGGUAAUGGGUAAAGAAGCACCGGCUAACUACGU
This 467-nucleotide ribosomal RNA is filed under the name uncultured bacterium. RNAcentral describes it as "partial 16S ribosomal RNA". It matches the Rfam family "Bacterial small subunit ribosomal RNA", at positions 28 to 506 of the family's 1533-position model. The record is from RNAcentral.